Molecule: transfer RNA, 73 nt
Filed under: Ursus americanus (American black bear)
Lineage: Eukaryota; Metazoa; Chordata; Mammalia; Carnivora; Ursidae
Also listed under: 2 other names
Rfam family: tRNA
About the family: Transfer RNA (tRNA) molecules are approximately 80 nucleotides in length. Their secondary structure includes four short double-helical elements and three loops (D, anti-codon, and T loops).
Source: Rfam by way of RNAcentral
GCCUGGCUGGCUCAGUUGGUGGAGCAUGCGUCUCUUGAUCUCGGGGUCGUGAGUUCAAGCCCCAUGUUGGGUG